Molecule: ribosomal RNA, 141 nt
Filed under: uncultured eukaryote
Lineage: Eukaryota
Description: partial small subunit ribosomal RNA
Rfam family: Eukaryotic small subunit ribosomal RNA
Source: RNAcentral
AGUUGGUGGAAUAAUUUGUCUGCUUGAUUGCGAUAACGAACGAGACCUUAACCUGCUAAAUAGAUGCAUUAACAUUUGUUGAUGUAUGUUCUUAGAGGGACUGAUUACAACAAGUAAUUGGAAGUUUGAGGCAAUAACAGG